UAACCUGCCCAAGAGAUCGGGAUAACACCUGGAAACAGAUGCUAAUACCGGAUAACAACAGAUGAUGCCUAUCAACUGUUUAAAAGAAUGGUUCUGCUAUCACUCUUGGAUGGACCUGCGGUGCAUUAGCUAGUUGGUAGGGUAACGGCCUACCAAGGCGAUGAUGCAUAGCCGAGUUGAGAGACUGAUCGGCCACAUUGGGACUGAGACACGGCCCAAACUCCUACGGGAGGCAGCAGCC
RNAcentral lists this ribosomal RNA (241 nucleotides) under uncultured Lactobacillus sp. RNAcentral's name for it is "partial 16S ribosomal RNA". It matches the Rfam family "Bacterial small subunit ribosomal RNA", at positions 122 to 355 of the family's 1533-position model. The record is from RNAcentral. Lineage: Bacteria; Bacillati; Bacillota; Bacilli; Lactobacillales; Lactobacillaceae.